RNAcentral lists this transfer RNA (73 nucleotides) under Halococcoides cellulosivorans. It matches the Rfam family "tRNA". Rfam says of the family: Transfer RNA (tRNA) molecules are approximately 80 nucleotides in length. Their secondary structure includes four short double-helical elements and three loops (D, anti-codon, and T loops). Further hydrogen bonds mediate the characteristic L-shaped molecular structure. tRNAs have two regions of fundamental functional importance: the anti-codon, which is responsible for specific mRNA codon recognition, and the 3' end, to which the tRNAs corresponding amino acid is attached (by aminoacyl-tRNA synthetases). tRNAs cope with the degeneracy of the genetic code in two manners: having more than one tRNA (with a specific anti-codon) for a particular amino acid; and 'wobble' base-pairing, i.e. permitting non-standard base-pairing at the 3rd anti-codon position. The record is from Rfam by way of RNAcentral. Lineage: Archaea; Methanobacteriati; Methanobacteriota; Halobacteria; Halobacteriales; Haloarculaceae.
GGGGCCGUGGGGUAGCCUGGUAUCCUUCGGCCUUUGGGUGGCCGUAACCCCGGUUCGAAUCCGGGCGGCCCCA